RNAcentral lists this unclassified non-coding RNA (241 nucleotides) under uncultured fungus. RNAcentral's name for it is "sequence contains ITS2". The stretch from base 1 to 52 matches the Rfam family "5.8S ribosomal RNA", at positions 103 to 154 of the family's 154-position model. The record is from RNAcentral. Lineage: Eukaryota; Fungi.
AACGCACAUUGCGCCCUCUGGUAUUCCGGGGGGCAUGCCUGUUCGAGCGUCAUUAUAACCACUCAAGCUCUCGCUUGGUAUUGGGGUUCGCGGUUUCGCGGCCCCUAAAAUCAGUGGCGGUGCCUGUCGGCUCUACGCGUAGUAAUACUUCUCGCGAUUGAGUCCGAUAGGUCUACUUGCCAGUAACCCCCAAUUUUUACAGGUUGACCUCGGAUCAGGUAGGGAUACCCGCUGAACUUAA